This 684-nucleotide ribosomal RNA is filed under the name Triticum aestivum (bread wheat). RNAcentral's name for it is "partial small subunit ribosomal RNA". Lineage: Eukaryota; Viridiplantae; Streptophyta; Magnoliopsida; Poales; Poaceae. The record is from RNAcentral.
AUGGAGGGGGAGAGCCACGCCGCCGCCAACGCCUUCAACGGCGCCCCGACACGCCGCUCGGGGGAGGACGUCAUCGUCCUGUCCUCGGCGACGGCGAGGCCGCCGCGGUCGGUGGAGGCGGUGGUGCUGGUGGACACGGAGGGGGAGGGGCAGGGGCAGGGGCCGCACAUGGAGAUGGAGGCGCCGCCGGAGAAGCUGUACUUCAAGACCAGGCUCUGCGACAAGUACGAGGACACCGGCCGCUGCAUGUACGAGGACAGUUGCACCUACGCGCACGGCCGCGCCGAGCUUCGCCCGCCGGUCCCCCCUGUCGGCGGCUUCGCCGUCGCCGGCGGCGGCAGGGUUGUCAACGGCGGCGGCAAGGUGUGCUUCAACUUCAGGGACACGGGCACCUGCCAUUUCGGGGACAGGUGCGCCUUCCCCCACGCUGCACCAUCAGGUCAUGCGAUUCGCCUCACCGGGGACCAGAAGGUGCUGACAUCCCCAGGGCCGCGCUACGCCGCCCCGGGCACCGCCAGGGCGUACCCGUACCCGCCGGUGAUUCCCCCGGCCGCGCGUGAUCGUCUUGCCCAGAUGACCGAGGAGAACGGUGGCAAAAAGCCCAACAGACUGAUGCUCAUGAGCCAACGGAAGAUCGGCGGCAUCUACGGCGACUGGCCGGAGCAGAAGGAGCAGGAGGAGUGA